Molecule: non-coding RNA, 93 nt
Organism: Mycena polygramma
Lineage: Eukaryota; Fungi; Basidiomycota; Agaricomycetes; Agaricales; Mycenaceae
Source: the annotation of a GenBank genome assembly
GGCUCGGUAGCGCGUGGAGCGCAUCUGCACACAAUUGACGUUUGUGAGCAAGCCCUUGAGCAGAUAUUCCCCGUUCGACUCGGGGCUGGGCCA